This is a long non-coding RNA of Equus asinus (donkey), 7234 nucleotides long. Lineage: Eukaryota; Metazoa; Chordata; Mammalia; Perissodactyla; Equidae. The record is from Ensembl.
UCUGACCCUCUGCUCACCUGUGAAAUGGGGACCACAGGAGGGAGCCAGCUGCUGUAGAAUCGAAGCCCUCUCCCAAAGCAGCUGGCCUAGAGAUUGGGAGCACUGGUGGGUUUGAACCCCUGCUCCAUCCCUUACUGCUGUGCAGCCCAGGCCAAGGGGCCGACCUCUGUGUUCCUGUCUGUAAACUGAGGAGCCUGACAGCACUCACCUCAUAGAUUUGCCACGAGGAUCAAAUGUCAUACUGGGACCCAAGCGAGCAGUCAUAACUACCGCCAGGCCCAGUGUAGCAUCUACACUGGCCAAUCAGGCAAGGGGUGUUAGGUUUCUCAUCAGCUUCCCCCAGGCUGGUGUUGGCUGAAGUUGGCGGCUGGAGCUGGAGCUGGUGCCAGCCUGGGCUGGCCUGGUUGCGGCUCAGUUUUUAUCACCAUGGGGACUGAGGCGCAUCACUUGAUCACGAUCCUCUCUCAAGCCUCAGUUUGCUCAUCUGUAAAGUGGAUGAGCGACUCUUUCCUGCAAAACCAACUGUCCCUGAAUGCAAAUGAGUUCCCAGUCAAGUAACGUCAGUAACGUCUGCACCAGGGACGCCGUAAGUGCAAGGGGUUGUUAAGCCAGUGCAGGAGCCCGUGGGUGGUGGGUGGGCCCAUGGGCACCUUGGAAGAGAUCACAGGAAGUGCGGGGGCUGGUGCUGGGGACCCUGGCCCAGGGGGCCCGGGCUGGCACUGCUCUUUGAAUCUCCUAUUCUCUCUGCUCUUUGCAUACUCAGCCCUGGCUCUGGAAGCAGGGCCUCCCCACCGUGGGACCCCCCCAAGGAUGUGAGGGCCAUCCCAGGCAGUGCUCACCCCGUGCCAGCCCCUGGGCUGCUAGCCAGGAUGGCCAGACAUGUCCCUGCCCUCCUGAGCCUCGGGUCUGCAGGAACAGGAGAAACUGCACAGAUUCAAGGAUGACAGUGAAUUUAACAUGGUCUAUGAAAAUCUCUAGGAUGAGCUCCCCCCACCCACAGGUCUUGCCCAGGAUCAGAGGCCCCGGGGCAGCCCCUCCCUCCAGAGGACCUGCUCUGUACCAGGAGUGAGGCCCCCGGGGCGCCCCAUCACCUCACCCCUACAGUCAAGGCCCUUCCUGCCUUGGCUUGCCUCCACCUCUUACUCUGUGCCCCAGCCAUACCCACUGAGUGUUCCACAUCUCCAGGCCUUUGCCCAAGCUCUUCCCUCUACCAGGCGGGCCCUUCCUCAGUCUUCAGGGGUUCUCUUGGACACCACCCACUCCCCAAGGCCUCCUCACCCUCUCGAGACCCAAGGGCUCUCUUGGCGCCAGCCUGCACCACAGCUGCAAGGCUGACUGUGGGUUCCUCCAGAGGGACCUGGCAAGGGACCCUUGUCAGAGCUGUGUGCAGAGCAUGGCGGAGCGGAUGAAUAAAGGAGUAACCUUGCAGACGCCCCCACCUCCCUACCUGCUGCCCAGUUAGGCCAAAGGCACAAGGCGGCCACAUCAGCAGGGAGCAGGGUGCUGGCGUAGGAAGUAUGAGGUGUGGGUAAGAUUGAACCACAGAGGCUGGGCUGGCCUCAGGGACAGAGCGGCAGGCUGAGGGGGCGGCUGAGUGCUGGUCAGGCUGGGGCCUGGAGUAGGCGGGGGCAUGUUUUGAGCUGGGAGGGGAGGUGCUGGCUAACUAGGAGGUGAACAGCCUGGAGCUCUCUGCCCCCAACAAGGACCCCAAGGUUGUGUCCCACUGGCCUGGCCUUCCACACUCACUAAGGCAGCUGCUUCAUCCCUCUGCUCCUCACACCUCCUCCGUCCUCAGGGCCUCAGCUGCUCCUCCUUCCACCCCAAGACCCAGACUCCCAAAGGCCCCUGCAUCUGGCACAUCCUGACCCCACCCUCCUCCUUGGUCUUUAUCUGCCUUGUGCCCCAGCCCGCUAGACCAGCCCCCCCCUCCUGGCCCAGGGCCAGGCCCCGCUGCCUCGAGGCCACCUCUCUCCAUCGUGGUCUAGCUGUGGCUUGGUCCCCGGGGCCUCCCCCGCAUGGGCAGAGGGGUCCUUUCGUUUUGCAGAUGCUCAGGCCCUGCGUGGACAGUGGUCCCUCAAGGCCCGGCCCUGAGCCAUUCUUGCUCCUCUGUGCGCUCACAUUACCCGUCAUGUCACCCUUGCAGCAGCACACACUGAAAAGGGAACCCAUUUCACAGGCAGACGGGGCUGAGGUCCGGAUGCCCCAGGAUGUCGCUCUCCCCUAUCCCUCCCUCAGCUUUCCACUGUUUCCUCGUUCAUAAAACGGGCAGGCCAAUCCUCCCUCCCCACGCCCUGGGCUGCCCCAGAGGUCCCAGAGGUACCCUCUCACACAAACCCCAAAUGUGUUCAGGUAGGGUGGGGUGGCCUGCCACUGGCCCCUAAGCAGCACUGGACCACGAGGUCUGGGCAGCACCUUCUGCACUGCAGGUCAGGCCGCUCCCAUGGGGAGAGGAAGGCUGGGGGUGGGGGUGAACAUUGACUGACAUCUCGAAGAAGUCCCGGGCCCUCUGCUGGGAUGGCAUUGAGCCUCCUUGAACCCCCAGGACAGUCCACAGCCUCCCAGCUCCGUUCUGGGCCCACCCUGUGAGCACACAGCAAGGAAGGCUCUCAGCUGGCUUAUAAGGCUGAAUAGAGAGGCCUCUGCUCCCCGGGAGGCUGGAGUUUAAUGAACUCGCUGCCUGUUUAGGGAGGCGAAGCUGCCUCCAGCAGAGCUGCCCUCCAGGCUCCUGACUCCAACAGCCUGAGGCAGAGGCGGGGGUGGUGAGUGGGGUGGGGUGGAGAAGGGGGCACAGUGCCGCUCAGGGUGCUGGGCGCCUCCCCAGGAAAACCAAAGGCAGCAAGGUCAGCAGGAGGCCGCCUUGCCGGGCCUGGACCUCUCUGUCCUGAGUCCCUGGACCCCAGGCCCUCUGGCUGGGAGUCAGCCUUUUCUAGUUGCCCAGUGGCAGAGAGGGGAGUCUGGCAGGAUUACCCCACCCCUGGUCCAGGCCCCAGCAUGGCUGCCGUGCCCAGACAGUCUACUUCACGUCAGUCAUGUCCCUCCCUAUGCUCAAACCCUUUUACAGUUCCCACCUCACCUAGAACAAAGUCCCAACUCUUCCUUGUGGCCUAUGAGGCCCUCGGGGACCCACCUGUCACCCCUCAGUGGACACAGACAUUGCCAGUGUGGCGGCCGAGCCUGGUUCAGGGCAAGGCUGUGAAGCAGCAGGUUCUGAGGUCUUCGGGAAGCAAAGAGGAGGAGGAGGAAAGUCGAGGUAGAAGGGCGAAGGGCAGGACGCUUGGAGGGUGUUUGACACAAGGGAGGUGGAGGAAGAAUGUUCUGGGUCUGCUAGUAUGGAGCAAGGAAGACUCAGCACCCAUUCCCCAGCCCCCAGGACCGAGAGCCCAAGGAGAUGGGCGGCACAGGGGUGAGGGGUGGCAGAUUACCGCCGGGGGUUGCAGGUGGCAGUGAUGGAGGAGUGGGGGACAGAGAGGGCCUCGAACUGAGCUCCUUAAAGGCAGGCUUGUGUGCAGCUCUGAGUGGGUGGAGGAGAGGAGAGAGAGGAACCGCCCUUGGGGGUCGUUUGGGGCUGAGUGGCCACUGGUCUGUCUCAAAUCCCACCUCCCAGCAGCGUGUCCACCUGAGCCUCGGUUUCAGUGACAAUCAAGACAGCUCAGUGAGGACAGAAGGGGACUCCCCGCUCAUCCAGGCUCAGCAGGCGUGCGUUUCCUUCUUCACUCCUCCUCCAGGAAAAUCAGGCUGCCACAGGGCGGUGCCGAGGGGGUCAGCUAAAUGAGGGGCAGGCCUCCCGGGGGUUGGGACCCAGGUUUUGUGGCUGCCCCCGAAGGGAGCUCCUGCGCUGGGGGCAAGGCAAGCUGAGAGGUGUGUGUGAGGAGAGCCCUCAGGAGGGGCCGGAGAGGGGGUGAGUUUAGCCCCCUGGAAGAGUGCCGGAGGGCAGGGUGCCUGAGCGGGAACAGGUGAGACCCAGGUGAGGGGAAGCCUUAGAACUGAAAGGUGGUGGCAGCCAUUCUGAGGCGGAUCCCAGGCCUCAGGGGACACUGCUUCCUCCUGUGUGCUCCCCACCACAAGGACCCACCACAGCGGGGAGAGGGCAUGUCCAGGCCUCAGCAGAUGCUUCUUUGCCUGGCCUGCCUUUGCUCUGCCCAAGGAUUUCCCACCAUCUCUCCUGGCAUAGCCGGCCCUGCUCUCCUGGGUCGUGCCCGGCCGCUGUCUUCAGAACCUUGGGGCAUCUGAAACAUUUCAACUACUUCUGACUCCCUCAGCCUCCACCAGCCUCUCCAGGGCCGUAGCUCGGUGCAGGAUGGCCAUCCUGCCCCAUCCUGCCCCAUCCUGCCCCAUCCUGCCCCAUCCAGUGGUUCAGCCUCCAACCCUCUCUUCUGCUCCGGCUCCUCUCAGCACUUGCUCUAGAAAAUCAUCCCUGAAAACAAACCCAGGAACGCAAAGUGGGUGUGGGAAGCAGUGGCCCCUCCUUGGCAACAAUUUCCAGAGGAUUCUGCGAAGCCGAGUUUCCAUGGGAACACGUGCUGGUUACACACAGAAACCCAGUGGGGCUGGGGUUCCCUUCACAGCCAAUAUCUCAGGAUCCCGCAGGCACUGGGGGUGGAGGCGCCUCAGGCAAGCACAGCCGUUUGCAUUUUGGCCACCAGCCCUCACUAACCUGAAAGCAAGUUACAGGCAAAUCUGCCAUUUUUUUUUUUUUUUUUUUACAUUCUAAUUUAAAGGCCUUGCUCCAUUCUAAGGAUGCCUCUGGGAUUUCCAGGAUGGAUUUUUAUGUAGUUCAAUAGUUUUCUUGGCAGAUUGCUCAGCCACGAGAGGUGGGCCAUGGCCUUGGCCCAGCCAGGCUGACAGAGCGGCGUCUCUCUGUCCCUCUUAAAUACCAGGGGAUGUCCCUUGUCUACCUGAGGGACUUCCUCAUCCCUGAAUCCAGACUCCUAGAGUUGGGGACAUUGGCAUGAGGCACUGAGGCACCCUCCUUCCCGGGCUCCUUCUGGCCUGCAGUCAUAAUUAUGGCCUCCGGCCCUUGACAGAGCAUGGGUCAGGCCUGCUGUCUGCACUUGGUGCUGGACUGGGAUUUUGUGUGUGUGUCUAUGCAGGUGAUGUGGGCAUAUAUUGCUGUGAAACACUUCAACUUCAGCAAAGUGAAAUUCUCUUUGAUGCUCCUGCCACCUCACAGCCUCCAGCUCGGUCCCCUCCCCAGAGGCGACCACUGGGUCAUAUGAGCAUGUUUUCUUCUGGGCUAUUCUUAUUGCAUCUACGUGCAUAUUUGCAUAGACAUGAACACAUAAGACAUUGGGUGCUUGUGGGGGGUUCUGAAGGCUUCCGUGGAAUCAUUCUGCAGGUGCUGUUUGCAAUUGCUUUGUUCAGCCCCACGUGGUGGGAUCUGCCCAUGACAGCACAUGGGAGCUGCCAGACUCCUUAAUUACAGCAAAGGAUUCCACAGGACCAACAGAUCCUAAUUGAAUCAGGCCCGUAGUAAUGGCCUUUUCAGUUGUUUACAAUCCACCCUCACAGAAGGUGCUGCAGAAACAUCCUUGCACAGAUCUGCGCAACUUCCAGGGAGUGGACGUUUACCACCUGAGCAGACACUGCCGAAGCAUCUUGCAUGGCGGCUGGACUGGUUUCUAUUCCUCGGGCUCUUUACAACAUCUCAUUUAAUCCCAAAAACACUCCGCGAAGUGGGGGACCAAAGCAGAAACUGUGAUUCAGAGAAGCAGACUGGCUAAAGGCCAUACAGCCCAGAAGGGGCAGCCAGGGCUGGCUCCAGCUGUGUGCAGUCCCACUGCCUCCGUAGGUCAGGGGAGGAGGGUACGGGGGGUGGCCAGGAAGAGCCUCAGAGGGGCUCGGUGCCCCCAGGGCUGGGGAAGCCCGUGAAAGGACAAAUUUCCUUCAGAGAUGGCCUGUCAGCCUUACGUUGCUCACACCGGGUAUCUCAGAAUCGUAGGGGUAGGGAGUGUCCUCCUGCCGCAGGGGUCUAUCUCCUUGGGGAAAUGGAGGCAGGUCAGUAGAGGUAGUGGGGCUGGACCCACCCAGCAGCCCGCACCACCUGUGGGGCCUGGCUUCAGGCAGCCUGGACGUGGAUUCCAAGGCUCCCCUGGAAAUUUCUGGGCACAGCACGCCUGGAGGCACGAGCCGCCUCUUGGAAGCUUUAUAAUCCAGGAUAAUGCUGCUGUAAUUGGCAUCGUUUCACGUUUACAAUCCUCUCGUUACCUGAAAACCUACUUGCAGUGGCUAUAUCUGGAGAGGGUUUAAUUUUACCGGUGUGUGGACCUUGAGGGGCCGAGGAGCACCGGCUUUUUCUCUGUCGCCCCCAUCCUGACUCCCCCGUGAGUGCCACUGGCCUGGGGACCACAUUCUGGCUGACCUCAUGGCCUUGACUCAGGGCGCAGCCCUGUACCUGGCUCCCCUCCGUGGGCCCGGGGCUGAUCUGGGGGCUGCUUUUCUCCUCCAUGGAGCCCACCUAUCUAAGCCUCCCUCUAACCUCUCCCGCCUUGAGCUUCUGCCACCAAACUGGGCUUUCGAGAGCACAGACCUCACCAUCGCUCCUCCCUCUCAAAGCCCUGUAGUACCUUACAUUUACGGUCAAUUCAUUUCCACAAAGGGGCCAAGAUAAUUCAACAGGAAAAAACAAUCUUUUCAACCAAUAGUGCUGGGAGAAAUGGACAUCUGCAUGCAGAAGGAUGAAGUUGGAGCCCCCCUCACACCCUAUACAAACCUCACAGUGGCUCCCACUGUCCCCAGGGUGGCGGACUGGCCCCCAGCCCUGCACUCAGGGCUCUCACAAACCCUUCAUUCUUUCAACAACAUUUGUCCAGCUCCAACUAGAUGCCAGGCCCUGUGCUGGGGCUGUGUCCUCAUGCAGUCCAUCAGCCUCAUUUCUGACCAGCUCCCACUGGCCCAAAGUCACCCCAAGGGCCAUCCAUGUUCCCAUCCAUGGCUGCUAUUCCCUAAGGUGCCAAACUUCCCCACUCUGAACCUGAGCAGGAAUUCCUGCUCAAGUGCCACCUCCUCCAUGAAGCCCUCCCUAACACUCCCUACCCUACCAAGCAGUUUAUUCACUUCUCUCAUUGCUCCGACCUCCUCGCAUGAAUCAGUUCACACACACCCAUCUCCCCCAGGAGGCUCUGGGCCUCCUGAGCAUGGCGAACAUCCUACUGGUCUCUUUUUGUGUCUGACUCAUAGUGGGGGCUCCACAGCCACUUGUUUAAGAAAUAAAUGAAACUUUCCUUUUGCUGGCGAA